AAAUUGAAGUAGUUUGAUCAUGGCUCAGAUUGAACGCUGGCGGCAGGCCUAACACAUGCAA
RNAcentral lists this ribosomal RNA (61 nucleotides) under Klebsiella pneumoniae subsp. pneumoniae KPNIH11. Its description in RNAcentral is "partial 16S ribosomal RNA". Lineage: Bacteria; Pseudomonadati; Pseudomonadota; Gammaproteobacteria; Enterobacterales; Enterobacteriaceae. The record is from RNAcentral.